AGCGGCAUAUAUUAAGGGUUUAUUUAUAAUAUAAGACUCUGCUAAGUGGUAAUACGAUGCAUAAAGUUUGAUACAUGUCCGAUAUUGAAAGAUAAAAAAUAGAAGUGUUAUAAUCUUUGAAUGGAAGCCUCGAUAAACGGCAAUAGUAACCCUAACUGUCCUAAGGUAGCGAAAUUUCAUGUCGCAUAAUUAGUGAUCCACACGAAUGGUGCAAUGACUGCU
This 222-nucleotide non-coding RNA is filed under the name Solanum tuberosum (potato). Its description in RNAcentral is "Bacterial large subunit ribosomal RNA". It matches the Rfam family "Bacterial large subunit ribosomal RNA", at positions 1792 to 2012 of the family's 2925-position model. Lineage: Eukaryota; Viridiplantae; Streptophyta; Magnoliopsida; Solanales; Solanaceae. The record is from Rfam by way of RNAcentral.